CAAUAGCUUAUAUUUAAGUUGUUGCGGUAAAAAAGCUCGUAGUUGGAUUUCUACCGAAGAUAGCCGGUCGGGUCUUCGACCUUGUAUCUGGUUUUGUCUUUGGUAUCCUCAUAGGGAACGUUUCUGCGCUUUAUUGCGUGGUGCGGUAUCUAUGACUUUUACUUUGAGGAAAUUAGAGUGUUCACGGCAGGCAAACGCCUUGAAUAUAUUAGCAUGGAAUAAUAACAUAGGAUCUUCGUCCUAUUUUGUUGGUUUCUAGGGCUAAGAUAAUGAUUAAUAGGGAUAAUUGGGGGCAUCUGUAUCAACGCGUCAGAGGUGGAAUUCUUGGAUUGCGUUGCGACAAACUACUGCGAAAGCAUUUGCCAAGGAUGUUUUCAUUGA
This 381-nucleotide ribosomal RNA is filed under the name uncultured eukaryote. RNAcentral describes it as "partial 18S ribosomal RNA". It matches the Rfam family "Eukaryotic small subunit ribosomal RNA", at positions 592 to 976 of the family's 1831-position model. The record is from RNAcentral.